This 1190-nucleotide ribosomal RNA is filed under the name uncultured soil eukaryote. RNAcentral's name for it is "SSU rRNA". It matches the Rfam family "Eukaryotic small subunit ribosomal RNA", at positions 13 to 1198 of the family's 1831-position model. The record is from RNAcentral.
CCUGCCAGUAGUCAUAUGCUUGUCUUAAAGAUUAAGCCAUGCAUGUCUAAGUUUAAAUGUCUGCACAGUGAGACUGCGAAUGGCUCAUUAAAUCAGUUAUAGUUUAUUUGGUGGUAGGCGAGAGCUACAUGGAUAACCGUAGUAAUUCUAGAGCUAAUACAUGCGAAAGGCCCCCGCGAGGGGGCAGCGCUUAUUAGGUACGAAACCGACCCGGGCAGCAAUGCCCGGAACGACGAGUCUGGAUAAGCAUGCGGAUCGCACGGCCCAGAGCCGGCGACGCUCCAUUCAAAUUUCUGCCCUAUCAACUUUCGAUGGUAGUGUAGCGGACUACCAUGGUCGUAACGGGUGACGGGGAAUCGGGGUUCGGUUCCGGAGAGGGAGCCUGAGAGAUGGCUACCACUUCCAAGGAAGGCAGCAGGCGCGCAAAUUACCCAAUCCCGACACGGGGAGGUAGUGACAAUAAAUAACAACGCAGGUCCCAAAAGGGUCUUGCGAUUGGAAUGAGCACGAUACAAACCCACUAGCGAGAAACGAUUGGAGGACAAGUCUGGUGCCAGCACCCGCGGUAAUUCCAGCUCCAAUAGCGUAUAUUAAAGUUGUUGCAGUUAAAAAGCUCGUAGUCGGACCUCGGGGGAUCGACGCGCCCGGUCUUCCCUCAAAGGGAGUGCACUGGCCGUCAUCGCCCUCCUUCCGGGCCGCGACCGGCUGCCCUUAACUGAGCGGCCGACCGCGCCGGAUCGUUUACUUUGAAAAAAUUAGGGUGUUCAAGGCAGGCCUUCAGGCUCGCAUACAUUAGCAUGGGAUAACGGAACAGGGCAUCGCGCCCUCGUUUCGCUGGUUUCGGGGCGCGUAGCAAUGAUUAAUAGAGAUGGUUGGGGGUGUUCAUAUUUAAUUGUCAGAGGUGAAAUUCUUGGAUUUCUGAAAGAUGAACUCCUGCGAAAGCAUCCACCAAGGGCGUCCUCAUUGAUCAAGAACGAAAGUUAGGGGAUCGAAGACGAUCAGAUACCGUCGUAGUCCUAACCUUAAACGAUGCCGACCGGGGAUCGGGCGACGUUACUCCGACGACUCGCCCGGCACCCUCAGGGAAACCAAAAGUCUUUGGGUUCCGGGGGGAGUAUGGUCGCAAGGCUGAAACUUAAAGGAAUUGACGGAAGGGCACCACCAGGAGUGGAGCCUGCGGCUUAAUUUGA